RNAcentral lists this ribosomal RNA (201 nucleotides) under uncultured bacterium. Its description in RNAcentral is "partial 16S ribosomal RNA". It matches the Rfam family "Bacterial small subunit ribosomal RNA", at positions 328 to 539 of the family's 1533-position model. The record is from RNAcentral.
ACGCUCGACACCUACGGGAGGCAGCAGUUAGGAAUAUUGGGCAAUGGAGGAAACUCUGACCCAGCAACGCCGCGUGAAGGAAGAAGGUUUUCGGAUUGUAAACUUCUGAUCUAGGGGAAGAAGGAAGUGACGGUACCCUAGGAGAAAGCCACGGCUAACUACGUGCCAGUAGCCGCGGUAAUCUGAGCGGGCUGGCAAGGC